CGGACGGGUGAGUAAUGCUUGGGAAUCUGGCUUAUGGAGGGGGGUAACUACGGGAAACUGUAGCUAAUACCGCGUAAUAUCGAAAGAUUAAAGUGUGGGACCUUCGGGCCACAUGCCAUAGGAUGAGCCCAAGUGGGAUUAGGUAGUUGGUGAGGUAAAGGCUCACCAAGCCGACGAUCUCUAGCUGGUCUGAGAGGAUGACCAGCCACACUGGGACUGAGACACGGCCCAG
Molecule: ribosomal RNA, 232 nt
Filed under: uncultured bacterium
Lineage: Bacteria
Description: partial 16S ribosomal RNA
Rfam family: Bacterial small subunit ribosomal RNA
Source: RNAcentral